Molecule: long non-coding RNA, 2159 nt
Organism: Panthera uncia (snow leopard)
Lineage: Eukaryota; Metazoa; Chordata; Mammalia; Carnivora; Felidae
Exons: 3
Source: RefSeq, a predicted model, not a curated record
GAGACUCGAGGGCGCCUCGGGGGGACUCCGGAGGGGGCGCGCGGCGCCCCUGGGCCCGGCGCGGGCGGGGGGCGCACCCCCUUUACCUGCGGCUCCGGCUCCUCGGCCAUUUCCUCGCUCGGCGGCGGCCGGGACUGAACUGACACCACACGAGCGAGCCGAGGUGGCAUCCUGGUGCAACAAAGAAGACGUGGCAAAUUGGGGGACACCGCUGUCCGUUUACUUUCUCUCCCGUGUGGAGGGCACGCUCAGAGAAUCAGAGCUGUCACCGAUAAGCAUACUGGCCACUGGACUAGCCGAAUCUUCACCCCUUGAAGUUAUCACUGCCUUUGCUUUAACAAGAGGAAACUGAGACUCAAGAUGAAAUCAAACGGCACUAAAAACAGAACACCUGCUCCAUUUUGACCAUGAGUACGUUGUCAGAGAGGCCUUGAAGGUGCCUUCCCAAGUGGAUUACCUGGCCACAUAAAAGAGAGACAGGUAAUUUAUGAAAGGACUCUUCGUGGCAUUUGUACUUUGUCUAUUUCCAGCCUGUUUCAGCUUUCUCGGGACCCACCCGACCUCGAGGAUGGUGAGCGGGCUCCUGGGAGUGAAACCGAUGUCCGAUUUGUCGAUUUGUCGCAGUCCAGAGCGAGAUGCUACGGUGAGCUCCACCUGAGGGCUUCCUCCACGCCUUCCCACUCCGCCGUGUGGGAUUAAUUCAGAGAUUUUCUAAAGUAUUUACUUAGACGCACUCUCCUUCUGAGUCAGUAUGGACUUUGUUCAUCCCAUUUCCUUGAAAUAUGUCCACCUUCAUGGGUGAACACAGGAGCGCGCUUUCUUCCAGAGCACACGUGGAUAGUAUGUAUUUACAGAGAUGUCAAACAGACAGACAUACAAAAAACAAAACAUGUAAUAUUUGAGCUUCCCUCCCAAAGGGAGGACAGGUGCUUCUCUGGCUUGUAGUAAACGUUGCAAGAUUGGUAAUUUGAUACAUAGCGUGAGAAUCCACUGCGGGGCGUCUCUCUUUUUUGUCUUUCUUUCUCUCUUCUCAUCAGACUGUGUGUCUGGCUUGGAGAACCAGCCAGGGACCCAGGUAGUGGUGAGCCCAACAACCUGCCACACCAGACUCAAGUGACAAAAAGUCUGAUUGCGCAAUAUUCUCAGCAGGUUGGCUUUCCACGUUCUAGAAAACGUUUUUAAUGGGUUUGAGAUCCUUUCACACUAAGCACUUUGGGCUUGAACUGUCGUGCCUUGUCAUGAAGUUGUGUUUGGAACUGUGGUGAAAGUCGGGAUUUUUCUCUUCCUCCUCUUUUUUUUUUUUUUACCCCCCCCCCACCUUUAAAAACAAGAUAAGCCCCGUAUGCAAAUAGAGUCCACAGCUACCACCACCGUCCUGGUUCUCAGCUUUAUUUCUCCUGCUGCAGAGCCUGCCUUCACCCAUUAUACGCUAUUUGCAUACCUUUAACAUUAGAAACAUUUAUUCCAGGAAUGAGUCAUUGGAGGCAUCUUCUGCGUUUACAGCUCGGAAGCUGGAUUCAGUAGCAUUAAUGCCAGAAGAAUGGAUGUCUUCUGUAUUAAAAACCUCGGGAUUGUUUGUGCGUAGAGAGAGACAGAAAGAGAGAGAGUUUCUGUUUUGUUUUUGUUUGUUUCAUUUGAAGAGUGAAAUGUGCUCAAAUACAUUAAAGAUAAUGCUUGAGAUAUAUUUAGGUACAUGCUUCACACCCUAAAGCAAUAUGCGGUAUGAAUGAGAAUGUCUCACUCUGCGGGGAGAGAAAUGGCAGACUAUAUACCCUUCCUGAGCCGGCUAUAACCAGCCUCUCAAACAAGAGUGAGGGCUGAGUACCUUGAACAUUUUUUCCCCCAGCUCUACUGCGAUAUAAUGGACACACGACAUUGUGGAAGUUGAAGGUGCACAACCUGUUGAUCGGAUACAUUCGAUUUUGACAGAUGUCUUUUAAUGGAAAAAAAAAAAAAAAAAGGAAAGAGAAAGACAACCCCAAUGCUUUUCUCAGAGAGAACAGGAAGCCUGAAGGAGGAAGUAUGUGACAGUUUAUUUUUCAACAAGCACACAGUGUCAAGUGAAUGAAAUCCCUCUGGAAGCUGUAAAAAAUGGAGGCUGGAAGGUGGCUGUGUUCAGGUAGCACAAAAGGCUUCUCAAUAUUUAGAACCUUUUUCUC